UGCGUAACUCCAGAAAGUGCCAUUCACAUGACCAGAGUGGCCCCUGGGGUUGUGCAGU
This 58-nucleotide non-coding RNA is filed under the name Sus scrofa (pig). The record is from RNAcentral. Lineage: Eukaryota; Metazoa; Chordata; Mammalia; Artiodactyla; Suidae.